This 167-nucleotide non-coding RNA is filed under the name uncultured Pseudophaeobacter sp. RNAcentral describes it as "Ruegeria cis52 sRNA". It matches the Rfam family "Ruegeria cis52 sRNA". From Rfam's summary of the family: Cis-encoded. Targets oligo/dipeptide ABC transporter. Lineage: Bacteria; Pseudomonadati; Pseudomonadota; Alphaproteobacteria; Rhodobacterales; Roseobacteraceae. The record is from RNAcentral.
GCAGGGCAUGUUUCAAUACGAUUUUGGGAAAGCUCACGCCCUUCAAUCGCGCGGUGCGGAUAUACUGCGCCGUCAUCACCUCGGUCAUCGAGGCCCGCGUCAUGCGCGCGAUAUAACCCAUGCCAUAAAGGGCAAUGGUCAGCACCGGCAGCAGGAAGUUCUCCAGA